Long non-coding RNA from Zea mays, 525 nucleotides. RefSeq lists it as uncharacterized. The record is from RefSeq and is a predicted model, not a curated record. Lineage: Eukaryota; Viridiplantae; Streptophyta; Magnoliopsida; Poales; Poaceae. The transcript is spliced from 2 exons.
AGGCCAUGUUCGUUUAGGCCGUUCCCCGCCGGGAACCGCGGCCAAACCUCGUGGAUCCCUCCCCAUGGAAAUAAGCCCGGCCCACAGAAAAACAAGCGUUCGGUUACAUCCCACGUGGGCUGUAUCCAGAUCGUUCCUCGUCAUUCUAGCCCGGGAAACACGCCCGGUCGACCGGGGGGUGGAAAAUAUCCUAGCCUGGACCGCAAGCGAACGCGAAGGGCACGCGACUUCUCGUCGGCGUCGAUCUGCUCCGACGACCGCUUCUCAUCGUUGUAGACUUCCAGGGGUCGAGUUAUGUAUGAAGUAGCUCCAAUCUUUAGAGGAAGAAUGUCUUCUCAACGGGUUUUAUGUACUUGUUCUAUCAAAGAGUGAGAUGAAUCAUUAUCUAGAUCUAUGAUCUCGUCAUGUUUAGUACACUGGAAAUGUAUUCUUUUGCAACUUAUUAGUGUUAACAUACCAUGAGAUAAUUGUGCAGGUUGUUUGAAAAGGCAUUAAUAUUGAGCUGACUGAAUUAUUUUGAUAUUA